GCUGAAGAGCCAGCUGGUCGCAGCAGAGGGGAUCACAGCUUGGGCAGAGUGGAACCGAGGACCUGGCUUGACAGCCAGCACAUACUGAUACGGACACACAUGGGAGGAUGUCCUGGUGUCCACCAAAUGACUAUUCUCAGACUGGCACUGUGGCUUGGAGGAGGUCUUCAGGAAACAUCUGGAAGGGAGAAGCCUGGACGCAGUGAGAUGGCACAGCCCCAGGGCUCACAGAAAGGCAUUCAGCUGGAGUUUCCAUGGAGACAACAGGGUCACCA
Long non-coding RNA from Paramormyrops kingsleyae, 275 nucleotides. RefSeq lists it as uncharacterized. The record is from RefSeq and is a predicted model, not a curated record. NCBI's taxonomy places the organism in Eukaryota, Metazoa, Chordata, Actinopteri, Osteoglossiformes, Mormyridae.